AAGAGCAUCUGAGUGCAGAUACCGUGAGAAGCUGCAAACUCCAUCACUGUAAUCAUAACACCUACAAGAAGCUGUUUUCUGGCUUGCAUGACAGGGGAUGAUAAUAACUUCUUUGCAUCCCCUUUCAAAGUGUGAAAACUUCCUUUUUCUGUAAAGUCUCAUUCUCGGAGUGAGGCUGUGUGUGACAGACUGAUACAAGUGGGUCCUCUGAGGAAUCCAGUUGUAGUCCCACAUGAGAUGGAGGCUCAGACAGUCACGUGGUUGGUUUUUCUGGCCCUAAUAAAACAUGUUUCUACAAGUGACCCUGGAAGUCCCGUUAAAUACCCGCCCACUGAACCUAUACUGUCUAUGAGUUCUGAGGUCACAGACGGUCAAACCAUCACCAUCAGCUGCACUGUUGAAAGUUUCCCACAGUCAACUCUCACCUUGAUGUGGAUCAAUACAACUAAUCAGGCUGAAAUAAUCCCUGAAAAUAAUCUUAAUUCACGACCCAUCAACUCUCUCUCCCACGAGUUUAAAGUGACUUCAUCCGACGCUGGCUGGUACGUCUGCUGUGCCCAGAACACUGAGGGCUCAAAGGACAGCAAGUGGAAGGAGUUGGUGGUGAAAUGUGAGUGUUUCAGCUGCUGCUUUUUUUUUCAACCAAACAGAUCAAACCAAAUCUUCCUUUAAAAAAUCUGUUUAUGCAAAAGUAGCUUUUCUCAUGUGUUUUUCUAUCAACUAUUACGUCUGACAGUUGAAACAAUAGCACCUGAGAAAUGAAUGACCUAAAGUAAAUGUGUCUAUUUGAUUAAGUUCUGUAGAGCUUGGACAAUAUGAAUAAACUACCAGACCCUAUAUAAAGUAAUUUAAUCUAUAAAUUAUCAAUAAAAAUGAUCCAGUAAUGUUACGUGGUGCCACUCUGCCACUUAAUGAAUACUCCUGAUAAACUACUGUGCUGCUUAUUUAAAUUAUGA
Molecule: long non-coding RNA, 956 nt
Organism: Pleuronectes platessa (European plaice)
Lineage: Eukaryota; Metazoa; Chordata; Actinopteri; Pleuronectiformes; Pleuronectidae
Exons: 4
Source: RefSeq, a predicted model, not a curated record